GGAUUGUGGCUCAGCGGUAGAGCGCUCACCUAACAUGCAUGAGGUACUGGGUUCUAUCCUCAGCACCA
This 68-nucleotide transfer RNA is filed under the name Marmota monax (woodchuck). Its description in RNAcentral is "tRNA.Val". The record is from RNAcentral. Lineage: Eukaryota; Metazoa; Chordata; Mammalia; Rodentia; Sciuridae.